Centrocercus urophasianus (Greater sage-grouse) is the source of this 708-nucleotide long non-coding RNA. RefSeq lists it as uncharacterized. NCBI's taxonomy places the organism in Eukaryota, Metazoa, Chordata, Aves, Galliformes, Phasianidae. The transcript has 3 exons. The record is from RefSeq and is a predicted model, not a curated record.
CAUGUAAUGUGUCAGAGGAACUGUAGUUUUGGUGCUCCACAGCAGUAUAUAUCUCUAGAGUUACAGCUGAGGUUUGAGUGGCUAAACUUAGAAGUUAGGCAACCAAGACCUUAACUGGACCUAUCUCCACUGGGACUGAAGCUAUGAAAAAGUUUGUGUUGUUAUUUUUUCUUUAGACAGUCUCAGACCUGAGGGGAGAGGCCACUGCUCCACCAGGAUGCAUGCCAUGGAGGGACAUCAUGGGUCAGGAAAGGGUUCUUCUCUCUCAGGACCUCCUCCAGCACUUUGGCCUGGAGAUGAAGUACCCAUAAGUCAGGAAGGCCUCUUGCUGUGGACAGUGAGGUCUCUGUUUCCAGAAGUUCUGUGAAGAACACUGUGGUGCACAGGAUCCUGCUCCCUACCAGCAUGGGAGGUUUCCAUUUGGAGCACCCAGACUUGGCCCCAUAGCCCCACUGCAGGCUCCUUGAGAGACUCUCUUCUUUCUUGCCUCUGCAUCUCCCCAGUGAUCAACCUCAUCUUGCAGUGGUGGCAGACUGACAGGCUGUAAAGUAAGUCCAGCUGGAAAGAAGAUCAUUUUGUUGUCUUCCGUCCAACCUCAUUUUUCAGCACUGAAUGUCCAGUGGUGCACCUGUCUGAAACCUCCAAACACCUGGAGAUUCCACACAGCAAUGAUAUUUUUUAAAAAUAGACCACUUAUUGUCCGUGCUA